This 482-nucleotide ribosomal RNA is filed under the name uncultured bacterium. Its description in RNAcentral is "partial 16S ribosomal RNA". It matches the Rfam family "Bacterial small subunit ribosomal RNA", at positions 30 to 505 of the family's 1533-position model. The record is from RNAcentral.
AUUGAACGCUGGCGGCAGGCCUAACACAUGCAAGUCGAGCGGAUGAAGGGAGCUUGCUCCUGGAUUCAGCGGCGGACGGGUGAGUAAUGCCUAGGAAUCUGCCUGGUAGUGGGGGAUAACGUCCGGAAACGGGCGCUAAUACCGCAUACGUCCUGAGGGAGAAAGUGGGGGAUUUUCGGACCUCACGCUAUCAGAUGAGCCUAGGUCGGAUUAGCUAGUUGGUGGGGUAAAGGCCUACCAAGGCGACGAUCCGUAACUGGUCUGAGAGGAUGAUCAGUCACACUGGAACUGAGACACGGUCCAGACUCCUACGGGAGGCAGCAGUGGGGAAUAUUGGACAAUGGGCGAAAGCCUGAUCCAGCCAUGCCGCGUGUGUGAAGAAGGUCUUCGGAUUGUAAAGCACUUUAAGUUGGGAGGAAGGGCAGUAAGUUAAUACCUUGCUGUUUUGACGUUACCAACAGAAUAAGCACCGGCUAACUUCG